Molecule: ribosomal RNA, 553 nt
Filed under: Sus scrofa (pig)
Lineage: Eukaryota; Metazoa; Chordata; Mammalia; Artiodactyla; Suidae
Description: partial 16S ribosomal RNA
Rfam family: Bacterial large subunit ribosomal RNA
Source: RNAcentral
CACCUCUAGCAUUACUAGUAUUAGAGGCAAUGCCUGCCCAGUGACACCAGUUUAACGGCCGCGGUAUUCUGACCGUGCAAAGGUAGCAUAAUCACUUGUUCUCCAAAUAAGGACUUGUAUGAAUGGCCACACGAGGGUUUUACUGUCUCUUACUUCCAAUCAGUGAAAUUGACCUUCCCGUGAAGAGGCGGGAAUAAAAAAAUAAGACGAGAAGACCCUAUGGAGCUUUAAUUAACUAUUCCAAAAGUUAAACAAUUCAACCACAAAGGGAUAAAACAUAACUUAACAUGGACUAGCAAUUUCGGUUGGGGUGACCUCGGAGUACAAAAAACCCUCCGAGUGAUUUUAAUCUAGACAAACCAGUCAAAAUAACCAUAACAUCACUUAUUGAUCCAAAACUUUGAUCAACGGAACAAGUUACCCUAGGGAUAACAGCGCAAUCCUAUUCUAGAGUUCCUAUCGACAAUAGGGUUUACGACCUCGAUGUUGGAUCAGGACACCCAAAUGGUGCAACCGCUAUUAAAGGUUCGUUUGUUCAACGAUUAAAGUCCUA